Molecule: ribosomal RNA, 254 nt
Filed under: uncultured bacterium
Lineage: Bacteria
Description: partial 16S ribosomal RNA
Rfam family: Bacterial small subunit ribosomal RNA
Source: RNAcentral
UACGUAGGGGGCAAGCGUUGUCCGGAUUUAUUGGGCGUAAAGAGCUCGUAGGUGGUUCGGUAAGUCGGAUGUGAAAUCUCCAGGCUCAACCUGGAGGGGUCAUUCGAUACUGCCGUGACUAGAGGUCGGUAGGGGAGUGUGGAAUUCCUGGUGGAGCGGUGAAAUGCGCAGAUAUCAGGAGGAACACCGGUGGCGAAAGCGCUUGUCUGGCCCAAUACUGACGCUGAGGCGCGAAAGCUAGGGGAGCAAACGGG